CCUACGGGAGGCAGCAGUGGGGAAUAUUGGGCAAUGGGCGCAAGCCUGACCCAGCAACGCCGCGUGAAGGAAGAAGGCUUUCGGGUUGUAAACUUCUUUUGUCAGGGACGAAGCGAGUGACGGUACCUGACGAAUAAGCCACGGCUAACUACGUGCCAGCAGCCGCGGUAAUACGUAGGUGGCAAGCGUUCUCCGGAUUUAUUGGGUUUAAAGGGCGUGUAGGCGGGAAUGCAAGUCAGAUGUGAAAACUAUGGGCUCAACCCUUAGCCUGCAGUUGAAACUGGAUUUCUUGAGUGCUGGAGAGGUAAUCGGAAUUCGGUGUGUAGCGGUGAAAUGCGUAGAUAUACGGAGGAACACCAGUGGCGAAGGCGGAUUGCUGGACAGUAACUGACGCUGAGGCGCGAAAGCGUGGGGAGCAAACAGGAUUAGAUACCCCUGUAGUC
RNAcentral lists this ribosomal RNA (443 nucleotides) under uncultured bacterium. RNAcentral's name for it is "partial 16S ribosomal RNA". It matches the Rfam family "Bacterial small subunit ribosomal RNA", at positions 338 to 795 of the family's 1533-position model. The record is from RNAcentral.